RNAcentral lists this ribosomal RNA (524 nucleotides) under uncultured bacterium. RNAcentral describes it as "bacterial SSU rRNA". It matches the Rfam family "Bacterial small subunit ribosomal RNA", at positions 353 to 861 of the family's 1533-position model. The record is from RNAcentral.
AGUGGGGGAAUUUUUGGACAAUGGGCGCAAGCCUGAUCCAGCCAUGCCGCGUGAGUGAAGAAGGCCUCGGUUGUAAAGACUCUUUCGGUCCGGGGAAGGAAAUACGUGGUCUCUAACAUAGGCCAUGGAUGACGGUACCGGACUAAGAAGCACCGGCUAACUACGUGCCAGCAGCCGCGGUAAUACGUAGGGUGCGAGCGUUAAUCGGAAUUACUGGGCGUAAAGCGUGCGCAGGCGGUUUUUGUAAGACAGAUGUGAAAUCCCCGGGCUUAACCUGGGAACUGCGUUUGUGACUGCAAGGCUAGAGUACGGCAGAGGGGGGUGGAAUUCCUGGUGUAGCAGUGAAAUGCGUAGAGAUCAGGAGGAACACCGAUGGCGAAGGCAGCCCCCUGGGGCCUGUACUGACGCUCAUGCACGAAAGCGUGGGGAGCAAACAGGAUUAGAUACCCUGGUAGUCCACGCCCUAAACGAUGUCGACUAGUCGUUCGGAGCAGCAAUGCACUGAGUGACGCAGCUAACGCGUA